RNAcentral lists this long non-coding RNA (211 nucleotides) under Musa acuminata (dwarf banana). RNAcentral describes it as "long non-coding RNA (MACU_LNC009153)". Lineage: Eukaryota; Viridiplantae; Streptophyta; Magnoliopsida; Zingiberales; Musaceae. The record is from RNAcentral.
GUCAGUUUACCGAAAGAAAUUUCAGAAUCCAUGGUUCUAUGUCCAAGGAGAGACAUAUCAGUUUCUAAAUAGAAAUCAUUCAGUUUAUUUUGAAUCAACAUAAAAAAAGAGACUAAUUUUCUGUAGGAUGGGAUUAGAACACUUGCCUUUGAGAAUUUUGACCCUAAGUGAAAAGAUUUGGGCAAGAACCCUUAAAGCCCCAAUUUUUUUU